CAAUUUCGUUCCAAGUUUCUCCCACAAACUCCUCCAGAAAUGACUCAUAAACUUAGUGUCACGAUCAGAAGUAAUUGACUGUGGAACACCAUGUAAACGCACAAUCUCUCUGAAAUAAAGAUGAGCAAUCCGAGUAGCAUCCAUUGUCUUCCGGCAAGCCACAAAAUGAGCCAUCUUUGAAAAUCUGUCAACCACAACAAGAAUGGAAUCCAUCGCCCGCUGUGUACGAGGUAAGCCCAAGACAAAAUCCAUACUGACAUCAAACCAAGGAGCUUCAGGUACGGGUAAUGGUGUGUACAAUCCAGCAUUAGUAAGAGCCCCUUUAGACCGCUGACAUACAUAACACCGCUCCACAUAAUGCGCCACAUCACUGCUCAACUUGGGCCAGUAAUAAUCAGAAGAGACCAAUGCCAAUGUCUUGUCUCGCCCAAAAUGUCCUUCGUUAUGAAGUUCACUAAUAAUCUGCUGCCUUAGUGAACAAUCCGGAAUGCAUAACUGCAAUCCACGAAACAGGUAACCAUUAUGUAAAACAAAAUCAUGUCGGUGAUUAUCAGUUACCUCCCGAAUUAUCUUCCCAAAUGAAGGAUCCGCAGCAUACAUAUCAGGAAAUGCCUCAAAUCCGACAAUCUUGGUGCUCAUGGUGGUGAGGAGUAAUGUGCGACGGCUCAAUGCAUCUGCUACUCGAUUCAAACUCCCUGCUUGAUGCCUGAGUGUGAAAGUAAACUCCUGCAAGUACGCCACCCACUUUGCAUGUCGCCUACUCAGCUUGUGCUGACCAUUGAUGUACUUCAAAGCCUCAUGAUCAGUAACAAGGAUGAACUCCCUCUGUACCAGGUAAUGGCGCCAAUGCUUCAGAGUCUGAACUAUGGCAUAGAACUCCAGGUCAUAAGUGGAAUAAUUUUUCUUUGAUCCCGAUAGCUUCUCACUAAAAAAGGCUACUGGACGUCCCUCCUGACUCAGAACACCACCAAUGCCAACUCCAGACGCAUCACAGUUUACCUCG
This 1003-nucleotide long non-coding RNA is filed under the name Olea europaea subsp. europaea. The record is from RNAcentral. Lineage: Eukaryota; Viridiplantae; Streptophyta; Magnoliopsida; Lamiales; Oleaceae.